RNAcentral lists this ribosomal RNA (531 nucleotides) under Triticum aestivum (bread wheat). RNAcentral's name for it is "partial small subunit ribosomal RNA". Lineage: Eukaryota; Viridiplantae; Streptophyta; Magnoliopsida; Poales; Poaceae. The record is from RNAcentral.
AUGUUCACGAACGCGCAGCGCCAGGUCGAGCGCACUGGCCGCGGCGGUACCCCGAGAGACCAGUACCUUCAGGAUCUUGUGACCCAGUUCCAGGACUCCACGGAUGAAGGGUACAAGGAGAGAAUUGUUGCAAACCUGUCAAAUUUUGCAUAUGACCCUUAUAACUAUGCCUUUAUGCGCCAGCUGAAUAUUCUCGAGUUGUUCUUGGACUGCAUUACGGAACCAAAUGAAAGGCUUGUUGAGUUCGGCGUUGGUGGAAUAUGUAAUUCAUGUGUUGAUCCAGCAAAUGCUUCUGUUAUUACUCAAUGUGGUGGAAUCCCGUUGGUUGUACAAUGCUUAUCUAGCCCAGUUAAGAAUACAGUGAAUUACGCACUUGGAGCCUUGUACUACUUAUGCAACCCGUCGACAAAGAAUGAGAUAUUGAAACCGGAUGUACUUAGGAUCAUAAGAGACUAUUCUGCAGCUGGAGCCGUCAACAGCAGCUUCAGCAAUCUGGCAAAUGCAUUUCUGGACAAGCACGUCAACUCGUGA